Molecule: ribosomal RNA, 292 nt
Filed under: uncultured bacterium
Lineage: Bacteria
Description: partial 16S ribosomal RNA
Source: RNAcentral
GGACUACCGGGGUUUCUAAUCCUGUUUGCUCCCCACGCUUUCGUGCCUGAACGUCGGUGCUGGACCAGGAAGCCGCUUUCGCCACUGGUGUUCUUUCCGAUAUCUACGCAUUUCACCGCUACACCGGAAGUUCCGCUUCCCUCUUCCGCACCCUAGCCAGACAGUCUCGAAUGCAAUUCCCAGGUUGAGCCCGGGGCUUUCACACCCGACUUAUCUAACCGUCUACGCACGCUUUACGCCCAGUAAUUCCGAUUAACGCUCGCACCCUCUGUAUUACCGCGGCUGCUGGCAC